UGUGGGGUGGCGGAACUGGCAGACGCGCUAGCCUAUCUCGCUAGUACAAUUAGAGGUUCGAGUCCUCUCUCUACAGCAA
This 79-nucleotide transfer RNA is filed under the name Hymenobacter arizonensis. RNAcentral describes it as "Siccationidurans arizonensis tRNA_Asp_ATC". It matches the Rfam family "tRNA". Rfam says of the family: Transfer RNA (tRNA) molecules are approximately 80 nucleotides in length. The record is from RNAcentral. Lineage: Bacteria; Pseudomonadati; Bacteroidota; Cytophagia; Cytophagales; Hymenobacteraceae.